UACGGAGGAUCCAAGCGUUAUCCGGAUUUAUUGGGUUUAAAGGGUGCGUAGGCGGCCUAUUAAGUCAGGGGUGAAAGACGGUAGCUUAACUAUCGCAGUGCCUUUGAUACUGAUGGGCUUGAAUCUACUUGAGGUAGGCGGAAUGUGACAAGUAGCGGUGAAAUGCAUAGAUAUGUCACAGAACACCGAUUGCGAAGGCAGCUGACGAAACUGUAACUGACGCUGAGGCACGAAAGCGUGGGGAUCAAACAGG
This 253-nucleotide ribosomal RNA is filed under the name uncultured prokaryote. RNAcentral's name for it is "partial 16S ribosomal RNA". It matches the Rfam family "Bacterial small subunit ribosomal RNA", at positions 524 to 776 of the family's 1533-position model. The record is from RNAcentral.